CGCAUUCUCUCAUGGACACUUCCUGGGGCAGCCUUUUGCAAAUUGCUCAUCUAACAAUCGAGAAAAUGAGGAAGGUGUUUACUUCAAAAUAAUCUUAGAAAUUGACAACAUGAAAUGAGGCUUGUGGAUCAAAUGAUUAUCAGAAGACCAAGGAGUCAAGAAGAAAUAGCUACAGAAGAUAGAAAGGACCAAGUUUAAUCUUCCUGUAAAUUCUAAAUCCUGCAAUGUACACAUCAGACUGAACAUACAAGAUUAAAAGGUAACUGCCUCUACUGAAGAAGGGAGAGUCAAUAGCCUUUGGAAAGAUGCUCAGGAGGGAAUCAGGUGGGGGAUAUUGAUGAGAGGAACGCCUAGUACACCAGACCCACUAGUUCAGAGAUAUGUUAGGGAUGUUGCCUCCAUCCUCUCUCCUAACUCUCAUAUUGACUCAUAAGAGC
This 437-nucleotide long non-coding RNA is filed under the name Homo sapiens (human). Its description in RNAcentral is "HSALNT0038361". The record is from RNAcentral. Lineage: Eukaryota; Metazoa; Chordata; Mammalia; Primates; Hominidae.